This 38-nucleotide ribosomal RNA is filed under the name Amyloporia xantha. Its description in RNAcentral is "partial 28S ribosomal RNA". The record is from RNAcentral. Lineage: Eukaryota; Fungi; Basidiomycota; Agaricomycetes; Polyporales; Adustoporiaceae.
CUGGCCUCAAAUCAGGUAGGAUUACCCGCUGAACUUAA